AGGUUUCUGGGGGUCCUUAUGGGUCCUUAUGGGUCCCUAUGGGGUCUCUAUGGGUCCCUAUGGGUCUCUAUGGGGUCUCUAUGGGUCCCUAUGGGUUCCUCUUUGAGUCCCUAUAGGGUCCUUAUGGGUCCCUAUGUGCCUCUAUGGGGUCCCUAUGGGGUCUCUAUGUAUCCCUAUAGGUCCCUCUUUGAGUCCCUAUAGUUUCUGGGGGUCUCUGGGGUUCCCACGUUUCCACGUCCCACGUUUCCAUGUUCCCAUGACCCCAUAAUCCCAAAAUCCCAUGUUCCCACAUUUCCACAUUCCCACAUUUCCAUGUUCCCAUGUUCCCACGUUUCCAUGUUCCCACGUCCCCAUGUUCCCAUGUUCUGAUGUUUCCAUGUUCCCACAUUUCCACCUUCCCACAUUUCCAUGUUUCCAUGACCCCAUAUUUCCAUGUUCCCAUGUUCCCAUGUUUCCAUGACCCCAUGUUCCCACAUUUCCAUGUUCCCACAUUUCCAUGUUCCCAUGUUUCCAUGACCCCAUGUUCCCAUACUCCCAUGUUCCCAUGUUUCCAUAUUCCCACAUUUCCACGUUUCCAUGUUCCUAUGUUUCCAGAUCCCACGUUCCCAUGUUUCCAUGUUCCCACGUUUCCAUAUUCCCACGUCCCCAUGUUUCCAUGACCCCAUGUUCCCAUGUUCCCACGUUUCCAUGUUCCCACGUUCCCAUGUUCCCAUGUUCUGAUGUUCCCAUGUUCCCAUGUUUCCAUGACCCCAUGUUCUGAUGUUCCCAUGUUUCCAUGUUCCCAUGUUCCCACGUUCCCAUGUUCCCACAUUUCCAUGUUCCCAUGUUCCCACAUUUCCAUGACCCCAUGUUCCCAUGUUCCCACAUUUCCAUGUUUCCACGUUCCCAUGUUUCCAGACCCCAUGUUCCCACAUUCCCACGUUCCCAUGUUCCCUUUCCAUGUUCCCAUGUUCCCAUGUUCCCUUUCCAUGUUCCCAUGUUCCCAUGUUCCCACAUUUCCAUGUUCCCUUUCUAUGUUCCCAUGUUCCCAUGUUCCCUUUCCAUGUUCCCACGUUCCCAUGUUCCCACAUUUCCACAUUUCCACCUUCCCAUGUUUCCAGACCCCACCUUCCCACCUUCCCACAUCUCCACAUUUCCACAUCCCACCUCCCCACCCCCCCAAACCCCCCCUCACCUCGGGCUGACCACAUCCUGCGGUGCCUGGAACCACUCCUGCAAUUUACUCUCCAGCCCCACUCCCACCUUAACCAGGUAGGAGCUGGGAUCCACGCAGCAGGCCCAGUAGCUCCUGCCCUGCGUCACGGCCACGUCUCCGAUCACCACCUCGACGGAGAGGUGGCAGCUGCUCAGCAGCCUUUCGGCAGCGAAAAGCAUCGGGACCCCCGGCACGCUGCGCACCGCGCGCUGGUCCUUACUGAUGGCCAGCCGGUCCCGAUUGAAACCCCAGCGGUUGUCCAGGAAGAAAUUGAGGACUGCAAUGAGGAGGGGGGGGGAAGGGGGUGGUGAGAGAUGUGAUGUGGGAAUGGGGGAUGGGGGGAGCUGAGCCCCUUUGAUGUGACCUGGUACCCAUCUGUAGGGUGGCAUCCUGCAUAUAGAAGUAGGGGAGGGGUCCUAAGGAGCACAGGGAUGCUCAGAGGAUGGAGGAGGAGGAGGAGGAAGGAGGAGGACAGUGAUGUGGGAAUGGGGGUAGGGGGAGCUGAGCCCCCUUUUGCCCAUUUGUAGGGUGGCAUCCUGCAUAUGGAGGUAGGGGAGGGGUCCUAAGGGGUGCAGGGAUGCUCAGAGGAUGGAGGAGGAGGAGGAGGAGGAGGAGGAGGAGGAGGAGGAAGGAGGAGCUGUGCUUUGGGUCGUGCUUUUGGGCAUCUGCUGGUCCUUACUGAUGGCCAGCCCCCUAAACCCUCCCAAUCCCCCCCAGCCCCCCCCCAAAGCCCUCCCUAAACCCCCCCAAAGUC
RNAcentral lists this long non-coding RNA (1949 nucleotides) under Phasianus colchicus (ring-necked pheasant). Its description in RNAcentral is "lncRNA (ENSPCLG00000013843.1)". The record is from RNAcentral. Lineage: Eukaryota; Metazoa; Chordata; Aves; Galliformes; Phasianidae.